RNAcentral lists this long non-coding RNA (949 nucleotides) under Mytilus galloprovincialis (Mediterranean mussel). The record is from RNAcentral. Lineage: Eukaryota; Metazoa; Mollusca; Bivalvia; Mytilida; Mytilidae.
AAAACGAUGUUAGACAAUAUAAUAAUUUUAAAACAACUCGUGCUUUAUUUAAAACCUUCAAAAUACGAUGCUAUAUUUUCAUCAUUAUAUUUUUGGCCGGACAAAUAGCGAAAAACCGUAAAAAUGCUAUUUGUCCGGCUUGCCGGAUGAAUAGACAUUUUUGACUAUUUGUCCAGCUAGCCGGACGAAUAGCCACUGACUGAUUAAUAAGUUAUCUAUUUCUGUUUAAUAUCACUCUAUUUCUGUUUAAUAUCACUCUAUCAUAAACAUCUUUAAUAUUUAAAUAUACUAUUUAUUCUUAUCUUGCAAAUAAAAUAUAUUUGUUAACUAUUAAACCUUUUUGAACAACUAGACUAAUACAUGAAAUAGCAAUGAUAUAGAAAAAAAUACUGUAAGAUGGUAUAUUAUAUGGAUGGAAGAUUUUGCUUUCAGAUGUGUUAAAAGGUUUCUCAAAAGUUCACAUAACGGCAAAAACUCUUACUUUGCAAGGUAAUGGUACACUACUUUGAAAGUUAAUCAACCAUAAACUUUACACUGCAAAUACAUGCUAUUCCUUGCAUUCAUUCAGAUAAGCAAAUAAUAAAUACAUCUGCACAAAUUCAGACAAAACAGAAAAAUUCUAUAUUUCAUAACAUUUUAAUCAUUUUACAUUCUAAAAAAAAAAUAAACGUAAUAAUGACAAAUCAGAAUAUGUCUUGAAAAAAAUAAGCCUCAUUUUUUUUAGAUUUGAAAAUUUAUCUACCCCCAGUGGUAGAAUCUAUAUGGAUUUAUUUUAAGGGAAACUUUAAUUCUUAAUACUUAUGACAUACAUAAGAGAAUCAUCUUUCAGACCUAUAUAUAAGCAUUAGCCUAGUGAAAUUUAUCUUGACACAUACAAGAGAAAUACACACAGUAUAAAUAUGUGUUUAUAAACAAAUGAUGAAAGAAGUAUAUAAAAUAAAUUUAUACA